Molecule: long non-coding RNA, 2695 nt
Filed under: Olea europaea subsp. europaea
Lineage: Eukaryota; Viridiplantae; Streptophyta; Magnoliopsida; Lamiales; Oleaceae
Source: RNAcentral
UUGAAUUUGAAUUCAACGAUAAUUCUAAAAAUUCGCAUAUGAUUUCAAGUGUUCAAGAACCAAAGCUCGAUUUGAAACCAUUUUUUGAGAAUUUCUCUAAAUUGGAAGAGUCCGUUGCUAUACAUGAUUCUAAAGAUUGAUAUUCAUUUCUUUUUAUUUUAUUUUGUAUGUUUAUUUUUAGUUUUAUAAUGUUGUGUGUGUUUUUUUUUUAGGUGUGUUUCUUUUAUUGUUGUUUUUUUUUUUUACUAAUGAAAUUGAAGGAUCAUUUAGGCCAAGUUUAUGCAGACUUUCCAAGUAAAACUCAAAACCCGUCCCUUUGUUCAAAAUUUUGCUCCUUAUUGUCCUUCAUAUAUUUUGCACAUUUAAUCUUUACAUUGAGGACAAUGUUUCAUUUAGGUUGGGGGAAAGGAAUUAAAAUAAUGUUCAAAAAAAUGUUUAAAAAAAAAAAAAAAAAAUUCUUACUGACCAAUGAUAAUAUUUGAAAUUGUUUUUAUAUUAUUAUGACUAGGGGAUGCUACUUUGAUUUAGUUUAAACUUGGUCAUGUUAGAUUGAUCUACAUUGAGCACAAUAAUCAUGGAAAUCACAUAUUAUUUAGAUUGGAUCAAUGGAUAGAAUAUGUAGAAUUAAAUAUGACAAAAAAAAAAAAAAAAAAAAAUUCCAACUAAACCAAUUCUAGGAUAGUUUGGGGUGGUUGAGCUGUUGUGGGGAGACAUUGAGAUAGAUGUGGAUUCCAUGUGUGUUAAAUUUUGUGUGGAUUGCUUAAGACCAAUGAGAUGAUAAUUAGGUGAAAAUCUUAAGUUAAAGAUCGAUUUUCGAGAAUAAGUGUUUAAUGAGGGGCAUUGCACUAAUCAUUGCAUAGAAGGGAAAAAGCUGCCAUGUUGUGAAGCUACCCUAAAAGAGCCCAAUGAGGAAAAUUAUAUACAUAAAAAGAGAUAGGCUAGUGCAUGAAACAGAAUACGCACAGCAAACUUGAAAAAAGGAGGUGCAUGAAACAGAAGACGCACUACAUGCCUUGAUUGAGUCCCAAACACUUAUUUUAGAGAAUUAGACCUUUGAUAAGGGAUUAGUAGCUUAGUUGAUUCUUGGAGGUUGAGUCAGUCAAAAUUAAGGAGAAUCCUCAUUUAUUGAUGUGUUGAGCUACAAUUAGUAAAAUCUAACCAAACUAGAGAUGGUGAGUAAUAGUAUAUAAAUUUAACCAUACACUACACCUUGGGAAAAUAGUUACAAAAUCAAGUUUAGGGGUGUGCAUCCCACGAGAGAAGAGAGAAAUAAUUGACCAUUGAGGGUCGGGAUGGGUCCAAUUUGAAAAAGGUAUGUGAUUGAAUUGAUUAUGCACACACACACGCUGGUCGAGCAUUGGACAAGUUAGACUAUAUUUUGGUAGCAAACCUUAGAAGAAUUUUGAUAAGCAAUUUCAAAUUCUAUGGCAAAUGGGACAAGCUAUUUCAUUGGAACUAUUUUUGAAUUUUUAUUGCUAGAGACUAGCAAUAUCUUGGUUGGGGAGUGUGAUUAGUGUCUAAAAGUGCUUCAAAGAUAUAUCAUUUACAAGGCAUUUUACAUUCACUUUGUUUAAAAACACUAAUGUUAGUCUCUAAUUCCAAUUCUCAUGCCGUAAAUUCAAUUUCCAUAAAUACAUGGUUAAAAAUGCAAUUAAUUGAAAUACGUAUUUACAUACAUGGUGGCAUGAGUAUUAUACAUUUGAAAGAGUAUCUAUUUGAUGUAUUUCAUAUGUAUUUUCAAUUUAUUACAAGUGGAGCAAGUGGAGGAAAAUAAUGUUGAAAAGUCAAAAAUAGUGACUGCCUCAAGCAAGAAGCAGCUGUUGGUAAAAUAAUCAUAACUUGAGCUGCAGACAUUUGAUCGAGGUGAUUCAAGUUGGGUUGGAAAGAUAAGGCAUGUGUCUACAACUUUCAUGUUUUGGAAGAAGUCAAAUUCGUAUCACAAGGCAGCCAAAAUUACCGUGCAAAGUCCAGCUUGUUACCUGCCGGAUACAGCUUUACCUGUGAAGCAGCAUUUAUUGUUUUUGUCAUAUAUGGAGUUAUAUAUAUCCAAUGAACCUGAUCUUUGAACCAAUGGAAAGAUAACUCAAGUGGAAAUAUUUUAUCUGUUGAUCAUAAGUCAAAAUUCGCUGCAAAAUGUAUCUGAAAAUUGGCAUCAAGUUGCAUGUUCCAGCUGUCUUGAAGCUGGACAGAAACAAGUUGCAUUGCCUACUUGAAUUUUGGAUGUUCCUUUGCCUAUAAAAGGGGACCUUGGCCACGAUUUUGAAGCAUCAAUUCUCUCCACCAUAUUCUAGUUUCCUUCAUUUUCUUUGUAACAUUUCACUAUGUAUUUCUAAACAUUUAGCUAGAGCUAAGGGUGAAACUUUGAUGAAUGUUUAGUAUUGUCUUUGAUCUUUCAUUUUGUUCUUCAAUGUUCAUCUUCUUACUUGGUUGAAGUAUAUGUUCUACAAAUGGUUUUGGUUUGUUAAAGACUUUGAUUUAUUGUUGACAAUUUUGGCACAAUAAAUGCUUAGAUAAUCUCUACAUACCAACAACUUAUUUUGACAUAUUCUCUCAAACAAUUAUCAAGAUCUAUCUUUUAGUAUAUUUGUGGUUAAUGUUUUAUCUUCCAUAUGAGAUCACUCCCUAGUUGAUUUUCAUAUGAGUUAAAUUAAAGAUCAAGUGCAAUUUCUACUCAUUUAUCCGAAGUGAAUCCCCG